This 465-nucleotide ribosomal RNA is filed under the name Vreelandella stevensii. Its description in RNAcentral is "partial 16S ribosomal RNA". It matches the Rfam family "Bacterial small subunit ribosomal RNA", at positions 338 to 795 of the family's 1533-position model. Lineage: Bacteria; Pseudomonadati; Pseudomonadota; Gammaproteobacteria; Oceanospirillales; Halomonadaceae. The record is from RNAcentral.
CCUACGGGGGGCAGCAGUGGGGAAUAUUGGACAAUGGGGGGAACCCUGAUCCAGCCAUGCUGCGUGUGUGAAGAAGGCCCUCGGGUUGUAAAGCACUUUCAGUGAGGAAGAACGCCUGGUGGUUAAUACCCAUCAGGAAAGACAUCACUCACAGAAGAAGCACCGGCUAACUCCGUGCCAGCAGCCGCGGUAAUACGGAGGGUGCGAGCGUUAAUCGGAAUUACUGGGCGUAAAGCGCGCGUAGGUGGCUUGAUAAGCCGGUUGUGAAAGCCCCGGGCUCAACCUGGGAACGGCAUCCGGAACUGUCAAGCUAGAGUGCAGGAGAGGAAGGUAGAAUUCCCGGUGUAGCGGUGAAAUGCGUAGAGAUCGGGAGGAAUACCAGUGGCGAAGGCGGCCUUCUGGACUGACACUGACACUGAGGUGCGAAAGCGUGGGUAGCAAACAGGAUUAGAUACCCUUGUAGUC